CGAAAGGACAUCCACAAAACAGUACGAGCUCACAGGCCCAGACAGACUGGGGAGAACUGUUUCCAUCCUGCAAUAGCAUAGCAGAAUGCAGUGAUCAAGUACAGCAGGAAUGGCUGUAGAAGAGCAGAGAUGAAGAUCUCCCACUUCUCCUCACAUCUGAGUUGACUCAGGUUCUGUGGGCAAACAUACCUGUGAGUUUCUUUCACAGAGAGGAAC
RNAcentral lists this long non-coding RNA (216 nucleotides) under Gallus gallus (chicken). The record is from RNAcentral. Lineage: Eukaryota; Metazoa; Chordata; Aves; Galliformes; Phasianidae.